This 429-nucleotide ribosomal RNA is filed under the name uncultured Acidobacterium sp. RNAcentral describes it as "bacterial SSU rRNA". It matches the Rfam family "Bacterial small subunit ribosomal RNA", at positions 958 to 1385 of the family's 1533-position model. The record is from RNAcentral. Lineage: Bacteria; Pseudomonadati; Acidobacteriota; Terriglobia; Terriglobales; Acidobacteriaceae.
AACGCGAAGAACCUUACCUGGGCUCGAAAUGCAGGAGACCGGGGUAGAAAUAUCCUUUCCCCGCAAGGGGCUGCUGUAUAGGUGCUGCAUGGCUGUCGUCAGCUCGUGUCGUGAGAUGUUGGGUUAAGUCCCGCAACGAGCGCAACCCUCAUCCCUAGUUGCCACCGGGUCAAGCCGAGCACUCUAGUGAAACCGCCCCGGAUAACGGGGAGGAAGGUGGGGAUGACGUCAAGUCCUCAUGGCCUUUAUGUCCAGGGCUACACACGUGCUACAAUGGUCGGUACAAACCGUCGCAAAGCUGCAAAGUGGAGCUAAUCGGAAAAAGCCGGCCUCAGUUCGGAUUGGAGUCUGCAACUCGACUCCAUGAAGCUGGAAUCGCUAGUAAUCGCAGAUCAGAACGCUGCGGUGAAUACGUUCCCGGGCCUUGUA